UACGAAGGGGGCUAGCGUUGUUCGGAAUUACUGGGCGUAAAGCGCGCGCAGGCGGUCUUCCAAGUCAGUGGUGAAAGCCCGGAGCUCAACUCCGGAACUGCCAUUGAAACUGUAAGACUUGAGGAUGAGAGAGGUGAGUGGAAUUCCCAGUGUAGAGGUGAAAUUCGUAGAUAUUGGGAAGGACACCGGUGGCGAAGGCGGCUCACUGGCUCAUAUCUGACGCUCAGGCGCGACAGCGUGGGGAGCAAACAGG
Molecule: ribosomal RNA, 253 nt
Filed under: uncultured bacterium
Lineage: Bacteria
Description: partial 16S ribosomal RNA
Rfam family: Bacterial small subunit ribosomal RNA
Source: RNAcentral